RNAcentral lists this long non-coding RNA (343 nucleotides) under Gossypium barbadense (sea-island cotton). RNAcentral's name for it is "long non-coding RNA (GBAR_LNC004780)". The record is from RNAcentral. Lineage: Eukaryota; Viridiplantae; Streptophyta; Magnoliopsida; Malvales; Malvaceae.
AGGUCUUGGGAGUGAAAGAGCAGAAACCAAAAGGUCUGUUUGGAAUGUUGCAAGGAGAUGGCAUAACAGCAAGGAGAUGGCAAACAAACACCUCUAGCUCCACCACAACAAGUACAAACCGCACAUAUCUGAAAUCUCCUUAAAUUCCUUUUGCUUUCAUUAAACAACAUCAGCAUCUUCACCAUCUUUUCUUCCAUAAUUGGAACCAUUUCAGAUGACCCAUUUACCUUCAAAUCCAUAAACAAUGAAAACACUCAAAUCUUUGACGUGAAAAUCAAAGAGAAGCAAGGAUUUUGACUUACUUGACCCAUAGUUGCAGCCUCAUUGUAAUUGAAGAAACAAG